UACAGAGGAGCCAAGCGUUGUCCGGAUUGACUGGGCGUAAAGCGCACGCAGGCGGAUGCGCGCGUGGGGUGUGAAAUCUGGCCGCUUAACGGCCAGGCGCCAUCCCAUACGGCGCGUCUGGAGUGAUGCAGAGGUCGGUGGAAUUGCCGGUGUAGUGGUGAAAUGCGCAGAUAUCAGGAGGAACACCGGUGGCGAAGGCGGGUCUCUGGGCCGAUACUGACGCUGAGGAGCGAAAGCGUGGGGAGCGAACAGG
RNAcentral lists this ribosomal RNA (253 nucleotides) under uncultured bacterium. RNAcentral's name for it is "partial 16S ribosomal RNA". It matches the Rfam family "Bacterial small subunit ribosomal RNA", at positions 524 to 776 of the family's 1533-position model. The record is from RNAcentral.